Bufo gargarizans (Asiatic toad) is the source of this 238-nucleotide long non-coding RNA. RefSeq lists it as uncharacterized. The transcript is spliced from 3 exons. The record is from RefSeq and is a predicted model, not a curated record. NCBI's taxonomy places the organism in Eukaryota, Metazoa, Chordata, Amphibia, Anura, Bufonidae.
UAAAUGCAGUGUCCAGCGGUCCCAGUGGAGGUUCCUACAAUAUAAGAUCCACUCAGUGGAUAUCUUCUAUAUAAAAUCCUUCUCCUGAUUGACCUGUCAAAGAUGGAUAGGGACAGGGACAAGAUGGCAGAGAGUAUUAUUAAUCUUACCCUAGAGAUCCUUUUUCGGCUUACUGGAGAGGAAUACACAGUAGUGAAGAAGACCUCUAGUGAGCGCUGUCAGGACCCUGUGUCUGAAG